Molecule: ribosomal RNA, 1193 nt
Filed under: Triticum aestivum (bread wheat)
Lineage: Eukaryota; Viridiplantae; Streptophyta; Magnoliopsida; Poales; Poaceae
Description: partial small subunit ribosomal RNA
Source: RNAcentral
GCUCACAGGCAUCGGGUGUGCCGGCUUGGCGUGCGUGUGUUGUUGGUUGACGGGUUUGAUGUAGCGCUUGCGCCACGAAGGAGGGAGGGGCGUCGGUUUAGCUCUAGAGAGAGGGGGGGCGGGGAGAGGGUGGUGUGCGGCCGGCCGGCCGGCGCCGCUGCUGGGUGGUCUCCUUUGUACCGGAGCCGCGAGAGGAGGGAGGCGAUGCCGCUGUCGGAGAGCCACCACCGGUAGAGCCCGCGGUGCCGCCACGAGACGCUCCGGUAGAGGACCGAGGAGUAGAUGGCGUGGCGGUGGAUGUUGAGGGAGGCGCGGAGGUAGCUCGCGGUGAGGGCGUUCGAGCUGAGGUACUUCAGGCAGAGGAGCCCGUGGCCGCCGCGCCGGGGGAGGAGGGUCGGCCGGAGGAGCGCGCGGUUCUUCUACCUGGCGCAGCUCAGGUCGGAGUUCCUGCGGAGCGCCCUCGAGAGGGAGCGGUUCGAGUUCAGGCCGCGGCAGCAGCGGCGGCACGAGAAGCAGCAGAAGCCGGAGGAGUUGAGCGAGAAGCUCCCGGCGCGGCAGCGGUUCGACGGGAAGCGCGGGCAGGGCGAGCACGUCGCGUACUCGGUGGCGCCGGAGGGGCCCUUGCUGGGGUGGCUGACGCGGUACCAGAAGGAGAUGAAGGAGACGAGGUACUCGUAUGCCUGGUUGGAGGUCUUCGAGGAGCCGAAGUGCGGCGGGGCGCGGCGGCGGCCCCGGCCGCCACCGGAGAAGCGGUACGGGCUAGGGUUUUGGUUAACUCGAACUACUAGGGGAGAUAUGUAUGUACACUACGGGGACUACAGUUCGUUCGUAUACUCAACCAGAGGGUCUUUCUCAACGACAGGACUUUCCUUCUAUUUAUUGGAUGGAUCAGCGAGUCUCCUCUCUUUGUGACGUUCUGUGACAUUACUGUGUUAAGUAAAAAAGGUGGGUACUAUUCGUCCGUACUUGGCAUGCAUCCGACCGACAUAGUACUUGUAAGAACUCAACCGGGUUCGUUAGACAACAGCCCAAACAGCAUCUCAACAUAAAAUAGUAGUCAGAGUUUUAACAAAGAUAACACAGCAACGGUGCCUGCUUCAACGGCAACGAUCAAACGGGCACGUUGCGAACGAAGCAACAGACAGUGGACACGCCACGGUCAACUUCGCGGCCGAACAGAUAUGUAGAAAGUG